CUACACACCAGCGAUCUCUAAAAAUGUCCUUUGGGUUUGUUUUAAGCGAUUUUUUCGGUUACAAAUUUCAAACAUAUUACUUCGUAUAAAAUCUUUUAAACUGAUUAAAAUUAAAAACAAAGCGAUUCGGCUUGUGACACUAACAAAAAAAAACCUUUUACGUCUCAAUUUACUUUACUUUAAAAUUGUUUAUAGAAAAAAGAUCAACGAAUGUCUGUUUUUCCAUCUCCAUUGGGCACCACCAGCAAAUAGCUUUAAGCAUCGUAAGUAUCGAAAAUGGGUGCUUAACUUGACCGCAAGACUAUCAUAAGGGCGACAAAUUCAGUUUAAGGUUUUCGAUUGAUGCGACAAUGUUAAAACAAUUGAAUAUUAAUGCACAGUUGUGCGGAUAUG
This is a non-coding RNA of Drosophila melanogaster (fruit fly), 393 nucleotides long. The record is from Ensembl. NCBI's taxonomy places the organism in Eukaryota, Metazoa, Arthropoda, Insecta, Diptera, Drosophilidae.